This 3011-nucleotide ribosomal RNA is filed under the name groundwater metagenome. RNAcentral describes it as "bacterial LSU rRNA". It matches the Rfam family "Bacterial large subunit ribosomal RNA". The record is from RNAcentral.
UUAAGGGCAUACGGUGGAUGCCUUGGCACCAAAAGGCGAAGAAGGACGUGGUAACCUGCGAUAAGCGUCGGAUAGGUGGAAACAACCUUUAACCCGGCGAUCUCCGAAUGGGGCAACCCUCUCAGGGUUAUGCCUGAGAACUUCCCGCUGAAUACAUAGGCGGGAUAGAGCGAACGGGGGGAAGUGAAAUAUCUCAGUACCCCUAGGAAGAAAAAGUAAUCCAACGAUUCCGUUAGUAGUGACGAGCGAAAGCGGAACAGCCUAAACCGUCUCAUACAUUCAAGGAUGCAACCGUUGUAUGAGCGGUGUUGCGGGGCGUUUGCGGUCUGAAUUGCAGAUAAGACGGAGAGUGACAAAUCAUGUGGUUAGCUGAAGCGCUUGGAAGAGCGCAUCACAGAAGGUGAAAAUCCUGUAGGCGAAAACGACAUGACUCUCUGGCGAACGUUCCCAAGUAACACGGAAUAAGUGGAAGUCUGUGUGAAUCCGGAGGAACCAUCCUCCAAGGCUAAAUACUCUUUGGUGACCGAUAGUGUACAAGUACCGUGAGGGAAAGGUGAAAAGCACUCCUAACAGGAGGGUGAAAUAGUACCUGAAACCGUAUGCUUGCAAACGGUCGGAGCAAUCUCGUUCCAGCAAUGGGGCGGGAGAGUGACGGCGUGCCUUUUGCUUAAUGAGCCUACGACUUACUCGUACGUAGCGAGGCUAAUGAACUAAGUUCAGCAGCCGUAGCGAAAGCAAGUCUGAACAGGGCGCUUGCCCGCCGCAAGGCGGGAUGAGUUACGUGCGGUAGACGCGAAACCCGGUGAUCUAUCCUUGGUCAGGAUGAAGUGAGGGUAAAACCUCAUGGAGGUCCGAACUGGUGUGGGUUGAAAACUACUCGGAUGAACUGAGGAUAGGAGUGAAAAGCUAAUCGAACUGGGUGAUAGCUCGUACUCCCCGAAAUAGCUUUAGGGCUAGCCUUGGGUAAUAAUGUGUUGGAGGUAGAGCACUGAUUGGGCUAGGGUCGUCACAACGAUACCAAACCCAGACAAACUCCGAAUUCCAAUAUCAUGUUUCCCAGGAGUCAGGCAACGACGGAUAAGCGCCGAUGCCGAGAGGAGAAUAAUCCAGAUCACCAGCUAAGGUCCCCAAGUCGAGGUUAACAGACAAAGGAUGUUGAGUUGCAGUGACAACUAGGAGGUUGGCUUAGAAGCAGCCAUUCCUUGAAAGAGUGCGUAAUAGCUCACUAGUCAAGCGACUUGGCGUCGAUAAUUCUCGGGACUAAACCUCGUACCGAAGCUGUGAAUGUCCCGCCGCAAGGCGGGAUGUGGUAGGGGAGCAUUCCAUUCAGCGACUGUGGUGGACACAGUGGCGCCGCAAGGCGACAGAAGGUGUGUAGCGAUGCAUGCUGGAGCGAAUGGAAACGCAGAUGUAGGCAUAAGUAACGAUAAUGCAACUGAAAAUGUUGCACACCGAAAAUCUAAGGAUUCCUGAGCAACGUUCAUCGUCUCAGGGUUAGUCGGACCCUAAGCUGAGGCCGAAAGGCGUAAGCGAUGGAAAACAGGUUCAAUAUUCCUGUACCUGUAUGUAGUCGUCUGACCAUAAGGAGCGACGCAGUAGUGAAAGAUCGGCCGGCUGUUGGCUUAGCCGGUUUAAGCCCGUAGGCGUGGGGUGUUGGCAAAUCCGCAUCCCAGUUAUCGCCGAGAGGUGAAUAGGAUCCCGCAAGGGAACAAACCGAUCCUAAUCAAACUGCCGAGAAAAACUUCGUAUGGGAGACUGCAGACAGACCGUACCGCAAACCGACACAGGUAGAUGAGAAGAGUAUUCUAAGGUGCUCGAGUGAGCCAUGGUCAAGGAACUCGGCAAACUAGCCGCGUAACUUCGGGAUAAGCGGUGUCUCGUCCGGUCAGAGGAUUUACUCCUCAAAGCUGGACGAGAUCGCAGUGAAAUGGGCCAAGCGACUGUUUAACAAAAACACAUCACUCUGCUAACACGUCAAGUGGACGCAUAGGGUGUGACACCUGCCCGGUGCUGGAAGGUUAAGGAAGCGGGUCAUGGCGCCGCAAGGCGCUAGAAGCUUGCGACUGAAGCCCCAGUAAACGGCGGCCGUAACUAUAACGGUCCUAAGGUAGCGAAAUUCCUUGUCGGGUAAGUUCCGACCUGCACGAAUGGUGUAACGAUUUGGUCACUGUCUCGACCAUGGGCUCGGUGAAAUUGUGGUACCGGUGAAGACGCCGGUUACCCGCAUAUGGACGGAAAGACCCCGUGAAGCUUUACUAUACCUUGGCAUUGGAUCCGGGCAAAGCAUGUGUAGCAUAGGUGGGAGACUUUGAAGUUGGGGCGCUAGCCUCGAUGGAGUCACCAGUGAAAUACCACCCUUGUUCUGUUUGAAUUCUAACCUCGUGCCGUAUAUCCGGCAUAGGGACACUGCCAGGCGGGUAGUUUGACUGGGGCGGUCGCCUCGACCGCUAUAUAAAUUAGGGGCUUUCACAUGGUAACAUGUGAACCCACAUCUGGCUGUAUGCUGGAACAUCCGUUCACAGAUAUCUUCCAAAAUCUCCGUUCUGGAAUCUAUCAAGUGAUGAAGUAUCAGAUGAGACUAUUUCUGAUCUCCCAGAUUAGAAAAGUAAAACAUCAUCUGUGCGGACAAUCAGCAGGGAAGUCUGGAAAAUUUCGGAAUACGGAUUGUCGAUUUCGGAUUAGGAAAAUCCGCAAUCACAAAUCCGAAACCCGCGAUCUCCUGACCCCUCAACGACUAUACGCCGGAUUCCCACGAUCUUGAUCUGGGGAAGUGAUAUAGUCUGAUCUUCUGCGCCGAAAGGUGCAUGAGCUCGUCAGAGUCCGACGAAGUCUGUCGACCUAUGGCUCAAUAGCGAUAUGAAGUCCCCCCGACAAAUCGGGGGGAAUCAAGUCAACCUGAAACAAUAAUGUAUUCACGAGAGAUUGAACAGAGGAAAUCCUCCCUGAAACUCUCCGAUCUCCAGCGAAACGUGCUGGUCGGAUUGCUUCUGGGAGACGCACACCUCGAAACG